AGAGAGAGAGAGCGAGAGAGAGAGAGAGAGAGAGAGAGAGAGAGAGAGAGAGAGAGAGAGAGAGAGAGAGAGAGAGAGANNNNNNNNNNAACAAGUUCCAGUUACAUAAUAAGGUGAUUACAGAUUUGGGAUUUGCCAACUGUGUUGCCUUGACUACGCACAAGCAUUGUUGAGUGGUGUGAUGACAUUGGCCUCUGAAAACUCUAAGCAGGUAUGCUGUAUUUUCUUGAAGGGCAGUCUCACAAAUGUGUGAGGAAGAAUAGGAGGAUGGACAACGUGCUAGGCUUCUCAACUUCAUUGAGCUUUACCCUAAUUUCUUGUUUUCUUCCCAAGUCAGCUUUUUAAUUUCUUUCAACUAAACUAUACUCUGCCGUGGAUGUGAAAUGAUGCUAAGUGAAAGUCAGUAGGAAACAAAUAGAAAUCAUCGAAGACCCAAGUAAGUGAGGAGGCAAGUGAGAACAGAAGGAUGAAAGUCAUCUAAGGUGAAUCUCAUCUCGGCUCUUGAUGUGUGAUGGAUCUGAGCUGUAACAGCUGCAGAGGGAGCUGCUGGAACUGCCAAAUAAUUCUCAAGUUUUUAUCUGGAUGUCUGGAGACCUCUGCUUCCUGGCCUUUUAUAUUUCACUUCUCCACCACGAUCCUUUGUACAAAACCUUCCUUCUGAUUCUGCAAACUGAAUUCUUCACUGCCUACUCAUGGAAAGGAACUACAUUGAGCCUUCUGCUAAUAAGACAAGACCACAGUAAGAGCUUGAUGUUUGCCUUCCUGGGAGAGAAUGGCCGGUUCUCUUGAAAAACAAAAGUUAAAUUCUUC
RNAcentral lists this long non-coding RNA (810 nucleotides) under Mus spicilegus (steppe mouse). Its description in RNAcentral is "lncRNA (ENSMSIG00000015010.1)". The record is from RNAcentral. Lineage: Eukaryota; Metazoa; Chordata; Mammalia; Rodentia; Muridae.